Long non-coding RNA from Passer domesticus (house sparrow), 3748 nucleotides. RefSeq lists it as uncharacterized. The record is from RefSeq and is a predicted model, not a curated record. The transcript has 3 exons. NCBI's taxonomy places the organism in Eukaryota, Metazoa, Chordata, Aves, Passeriformes, Passeridae.
AGGACUUGGAGGAGGUAGGGGAGUUUUUUUUUUACUUUCCUCAAGUAGGAAGAGCCAUUUGGAAAUGGAAAGGAAGAGAUAAGACAGCGCUGGUCAAAACAGCUGAGAUGACACAAUGACAAACUCCCUGUUUGAUCCUUCUUGUUGUUCUCUUCCAACAUCUUAUAACUGCUAUUAUGAAAAGACUUGGGUUUUAAAAUAUAUUAGGUAAGCCCUACCAAGCAGAGCUUGGGCUGUGGCCAGGCCCUGGAUCUACCUGGAUGCUUAAUGUCAACAGACCCAGAUGUUUUCUGCAUCAGAAAGUAUUCAAGUUACUUUGACUUGAUAAUUUGACCUUAUUAAUGUAACAGCUUAAACCUGUUUUUAAAAGUAAGCUUGGAGAAUCGUUAACCAGACAUGAUUAUCCAACCUACUACUGGUUUGAAGUUUAUCAGUUGUUGCAGACUCUGACUUACAGUGUUUUAAUUCUUGACAGUUAUCUAAUUUCAUGUGUGUUACUGACUGCAUAUGUUAUUUAGAUAAUGCCUAGUUGCUACAGCCAAUGUCCAGGUGUUUUUCCAAUAGCACACAGGCAGAAAUUAAAAUCCUACAGUCCCUGUGGAGGAUGUAGGUUUGCUUGUAUCUCAACAGGUAUAAGAUUCGAGUGGAUUCCUGCAGAGAAACGUGAAAUCCUAUUGAAUGAAAGAAAAUGCUGAGCACUCCAUGACCAAAGAGGCAGACAUACAGACAUGAUUUCUCAGAGAUUCCCACUUGAGCCUAAUGUUGUGUGUUUGACCCACAAAAGACUGUGAACUUUGGGUUCCUUUUUAAGUGUGGAAAUCAGUAGUGUUGUGGAAUUUUUGUUAGAUAAUAGCUGAAGGGAAAUAUGGGGCUCAAUCAAAUAGCUUUUGUCUUUUUACUUUGCUUUCUUUUAGUAAUUCAGAUUUGCAAGUGAGCCAAUGUUUGGGUGACUUUAGUGUAUCAGCUUGAGAUACCAUGUCUGUCCAACACAACCCCAGAAAAACCAUUUUCUACCUGUCUAGUUGGUGGGCCAGUGAAUACUUGGCCAAAUCCAACAGAAAUUGACAAAUCCAUGCAAGGUACCUUCACAAGACCAUCCAUGUGGACUCUUUGGUUCCUCAGUAGAGGUGUGGGAUUUGUGGGUUCCUCACCUCCCCCAGGCAUCUCUUGAAUCUCAAGAAUUAGAGGCCUUGGUUUUUUAAAAAUGCCAUUUGUGCCAAAUUUGAUUAUACAAGAAAAAAGAUAUCAAGCUUUAGUUACAGAUGCUUCUCCUUGUUUUAUGCUACAUAUAAAAAAAUCAGACCUAUUGGUGUAAACAUACUUUGGUUCAAUCUGCAUUUAAUAAUCUUUUCAAUUACCACAGGGAUUAUUUUUCAUUUGUGGAGAUAGUUUGCCCUGCUAUCCCAGCACACAUCAAAGGUGGACCAUGUAGCAUUGGGAAACUUAGACUGCUACACCCAGUGUAAAAACGAAAUAUAAAAGUAAAAAAUGUAUCAGUCAAUACAAGUCAGACUGCAACAAUUAUUUUGAACCUCAGUUUUGGAAAAAGAUUGUCAGCAUCUCUUUUUCUGCCACAACUUAGUUCAGCAGUGGCUCUGAAACAAUUAGAUUGUCUGGGGUGUUGGCUGAGUAAGGAGUUCAAUUCUACCUCCCUCCAUUGAUAUGCUAACAGAUGUCAACAGUGUAGAUACACGACCUUGCAAAACUGGGCUGAGAUUGAUUUCUCUCUUAUUAGCACAUGGAUGUGGAUGGGAGGAUUUUAAAGGAAUGUGUUGUAUGAAUUUAUCUGAUCACUCAGAAUCUAUUUAAAAAGAAAACAGCAGCUGAAGGAGGGUGUGUCAAAGACUAGAGUUGAUAGAACUUGGUUAGAUAGCUUUUUUUCAUGGAUGGUAUUUAACAUUAUUGGUGAAAGAGCAUUUAAAAAUGGAUUUAUACAUUUUAGUCAUCAUAAUAGUUGUGCUAAUCAUGGUGUCAUGUUUUCUCCAAUGCAUUUGACAAAUGAUUGACAAAGCUAUUAAGGAAAUCUACAUGGCUCAAAGAGGAGGGGGAGAUAUUGCAAGGUAUGUAAGCCUCUCUGAGUUCCUCAGGGAGAGAUGAAUGCAGGGGUUCAAUUAAAGCCUUUAGAGAAAUGAAGAUAUAUUAAGCCAUAGAGAUGUGAAGUGUAUGUUACAGCUUCAAGUAAGUAGAAAUGCGUCUUAAGUGCCUUAAGAAAUUGUGCUAACUAGUGGAGGCUUUAAGGCCUAGUUUAGAAUUCAGUAACUUAGCUCCAGAGGUGACAACUUUGUUUGCAUCACUAGAACAGAACUAUAUGUGUAAAUAGAUAGAACUGUUCACAUAAAUAGGUAAACUUACAUACGUAAAUUUGAAGUAAAAAACCAGAUGGUUUGUGUAAAUAGAUAAUAUUAUAUAUGUAGAUUUUAGGUAAGAGCAGACACUACUUUUGUACUACCUUUGCACAUUAGAAUCAAGUUUAGAUUGGUUUAGAAAAAAUGUUUUAAAAUUUUGGUUUUGGCUGACUGGAUGCUUUAUGGAUAAAAUGCCCUGUAAUGGGGUGCAAUCAACUCAACUAUGCCCACCACAACCACGACCUUGAACAGCCACAGGAAGAAGACAACAGAAAGAAGAAAAACGGCUCUGGUCCCUACUGCUGCUGCUUGGGACAUUGGACUCUGUGUCUGGGACCAGCUGCUGCUGUUUCUGCGUGGAAACUGGGACUCUGCACCAGAGAGCAGCCUUUCAGCUGCUGCCCUUGCUUGGGAUGCUAUGCCAGAAAGCUUUUAGGUUAAACUUUUAAACUCUUAGCCAUCAAGACUGAUAUAUUCCAGCAAUAAACAACUUUACUGCAAUCAACAAAAUGCUCUUGUCUCAUUGAAGACCCCAGGCCCAAUGCAGCCUCGGCAACAAACUUGUUCCUCUCUUUGAGGACGAAGAUCCAUUGCAAGAAAUCUUCAAAACCUCAGGCUGAGUUUGCAAAUUUGAACUUAUUGUACUAGAUCUCAUGUAUUUCUCAGCCUGCUCAUAAUCUGCACAGAAGUAGUUUGCACCUUGCCAAAAGCCCAGCAGAACAGAUGGCAAAACUGCUACACCUUGAAGUCCAGAUAACAUAUGUGAAAUGAGUCAACUUCUUUUUCCUACUAUUUCUUUUUUAUAAAGCAUUACUUUGAUUGGAGGGGAAAAAACUGCGUACUUGUUUGAGUAAGAAAGGAGAAAAUUAAGGUAGGUGGAGUAUCUUUUACUGCACACCUGACUGUAUUUACAGAAAUACAGCUGAUGAGAAACUCCAGACUAAAGAAUGAUCCUGUGGGAAAAUUGUGUGAAAUUCCAAUAAUAGGAGGAAGAACUGUAAUUUUAUGUGGGAGAAACAAUGUUUUUCAUAGAAAGUGGUAGUUAGUAACAGAACUAAACUUCAAUAAGAAAAAGGAAAGCUUUGCAGGGGCAGAGUGCAGAAGUUUCAAAAGAAAUUAAAAAUAAUAUUAAACUUGAAAAUGUAUUAAAUUUUUUAAAAUAUAUCAAAAAAAGCCUCUUCUGAGCCGUACUACUAAAUUUUUUGAGACUUAUCUCUUCAUGAAUUAGGUCACAGAAACCUGAAUUACUCCUGGUAAGACCGUUUCAGCAACAUCUACCAGGUAAAAAAGAUUAGUUUAUUCUAAAUUUGAAUAAAACUGAGCACUUACCUCCUUUCCCCCCCCCCAACAGCUAACUGUUUCAAUGAAGGGUGCAUUUCCAAUGGGAAGGGCAGUUUGAAUAC